Molecule: small nuclear RNA, 297 nt
Filed under: Castor canadensis (American beaver)
Lineage: Eukaryota; Metazoa; Chordata; Mammalia; Rodentia; Castoridae
Description: 7SK RNA (ENSCCNG00000019090.1)
Rfam family: 7SK RNA
About the family: 7SK was discovered as an abundant small nuclear RNA in the mid-70s but a possible function has only recently been suggested. Two independent studies have found that 7SK RNA binds the CDK9/cyclin T complex (known as elongation factor P-TEFb).
Source: Rfam by way of RNAcentral
GGAUGUGAGGACGAUCUUGCUAUGACAUCUGUCACCCCAUUGAUCACCAGGGUUGAUUCGGCUGAUCUGGCUGGUUAAGUGGGUGUCCCCUUCCUCCCUUACCGCUCCAUGUGUGUCCCUCCCAAAGCUGCACGCUCAGUUGAAGAGGACGACCAUCUCCGAUAGAGGAGGACCGUUCUUCGGUCAAGGGUAUACGAGUAGCUGCGCUCCCCUGCUAGAACCUCCAAAUAAGCUCUCAAGAAUGGCCAAACAGGGACCCAAAAAGUUCACCACCCAUGUUCUCACAUGAAAAAGUUU